UCCUUGGCAGUCCAAUGGCUAGGGCUCUGUGCUUUCAAUGCUGUGGGCCCAGGUUCAAUCCCUGGUUAGGGAA
Molecule: transfer RNA, 73 nt
Filed under: Ovis aries (sheep)
Lineage: Eukaryota; Metazoa; Chordata; Mammalia; Artiodactyla; Bovidae
Rfam family: tRNA
About the family: Transfer RNA (tRNA) molecules are approximately 80 nucleotides in length. Their secondary structure includes four short double-helical elements and three loops (D, anti-codon, and T loops).
Source: Rfam by way of RNAcentral